GAUGAACGCUGGCGGCGUGCCUAAUACAUGCAAGUCGAGCGAGCGGACGAGAAGCUUGCUUCUCUGAUGUUAGCGGCGGACGGGUGAGUAACACGUGGAUAACCUACCUAUAAGACUGGGAUAACUUCGGGAAACCGUAGCUAAUACCGGAUAAUAUUUUGAACCGCAUGGUUCAAAAGUGAAAGACGGUCUUGCUGUCACUUAUAGAUGGAUCCGCGCUGCAUUAGCUAGUUGGUAUGGUAACGGCUUACCAAGGCAACGAUGCAUAGCCGACCUGAGAGGGUGAUCGGCCACACUGGAACUGAGACACGGUCCAGACUCCUACGGGAGGCAGCAGUAGGGAAUCUUCCGCAAUGGGCGAAAGCCUGACGGAGCAACGCCGCGUGAGUGAUGAAGGUCUUCGGAUCGUAAAACUCUGUUAUUAGGGAAGAACAUAUGUGUAAGUAACUGUGCACAUCUUGACGGUACCUAAUCAGAAAGCCACGGCUAACUACGUG
RNAcentral lists this ribosomal RNA (497 nucleotides) under uncultured bacterium. Its description in RNAcentral is "partial 16S ribosomal RNA". It matches the Rfam family "Bacterial small subunit ribosomal RNA", at positions 28 to 507 of the family's 1533-position model. The record is from RNAcentral.